Capsella rubella is the source of this 1100-nucleotide long non-coding RNA. RefSeq lists it as uncharacterized. Lineage: Eukaryota; Viridiplantae; Streptophyta; Magnoliopsida; Brassicales; Brassicaceae. The transcript is spliced from 3 exons. The record is from RefSeq and is a predicted model, not a curated record.
UAUGAAAACACAAUGCACCAGCUCUUCACCUUGUUCAAGCUGAGAGUUAGAAGUUAAAUCUCCAAAUCUGUUUUUUUUUUCUAUAAUAUAAUUUUACAUCAGUGAUUCAGUAUAAACUUUACUAGCUGAGAUAAUACUAGGGGACACAAAAAUAUAUCAGAUUACAUGAAUUCAGAGUCAGCUUAGUUGCUGAAACAUGUACACUUGUAAGUACUCUGACUAAUCAGAAGAUUGAUACUUCGAGCAUUAUAUUAGUUAGUUUGCUGGUUCGGACAUGUUUGAGAUUAAACCGGUUUGACUGAUUAAUCAGUCCGAUUUGGGUAAAUAAUGGUUUAGCGAUUUUGAUCUGCUGGCUAUUUUUUUGCUGCUCUGGUUCACCGGUUUUGUCUCUUCUACUUCUUCUACCCGCUUCUUGUCUGGUUUUGCAAUCUUCGGUGUCUGCUCUCUUUCAAAAGGAAUCUCUUUCUCAACCGAUAUCCUCUCAAUAUUAUCUCUGUUACCGGACAUAAGGAGUAGUUGUUUACAUGAUGCUACUUGGACAACAGAGAAUGCUUGAAUGAAACUCUGAGAAUGAAGUUUUGGGGAGGCUUCUUAGUCAUCGUUGGUUCCAUUUCCUUUGUUGGAUUUGUUUUUGUAGCUUUAAUCUCCAAAUUGUUUCCACUCUCUGAGGAUCCCAUUAUCCAAGCUAUUCAGAAUGAUAGGUACUACUGCUUCUUGGCUCCAUUGACUUUACCAGCUCUACUGGUUGCUGUUUACUUUCAUUGGCUUAGCAUGAAGCUCUUCAAGCACGCAUGAUACACGUAGCAACAUCUUACUCCCAAGGUAGGAUUCAGAGUUCCAAUCUACCUUACUGGCUUAUUAGGUUGAAAUGCCACUGUAGUUAAAUCAUAUGCUAAUACAGAGAACUAGUUUCUUUGGGGAUGAUUAUUAGUUUAUUUUACCUUGUAAUUGCCGCUGAAUUUGGUAGAGAUCAAUAUCUUUUGUUAAUAAAGCUGUCAUCAAACUUAACCAGAUUUCCUAACAUUUGUCUUUUAGAGACAUGAAAUCUGGAUUUUCUGGUGAUUGUGUAGAAUGGUUAUAAGCACGGUUGGAUUACUACA